GCCUUUAUGGCGUAGUGGUAGCGCGUCGCACUUGUACUGCUUCGAUUGAAGUUCCUGGUCAUGCGAAGGUCUCUCGUUCAACCCGGGAUGGAGGCA
Non-coding RNA from Armillaria borealis, 96 nucleotides. The record is from the annotation of a GenBank genome assembly. NCBI's taxonomy places the organism in Eukaryota, Fungi, Basidiomycota, Agaricomycetes, Agaricales, Physalacriaceae.